Molecule: long non-coding RNA, 457 nt
Organism: Mizuhopecten yessoensis (Yesso scallop)
Lineage: Eukaryota; Metazoa; Mollusca; Bivalvia; Pectinida; Pectinidae
Exons: 3
Source: RefSeq, a predicted model, not a curated record
UGGACAAUUAACUUGAAUAACAGGACCCAAGACAUCGGUUAUACACUAUGUAUUUAUGCUGCGUUCAUUACUUUAGGUUGGGUGCAAAUACUUAGUGGUAGUGGAAUCACCUUACGGGACUUCAUGGUAAUAAGCAGCAGCGAAAAUUCGGAAGAUGGACAGUGGUUUUUAUGGUCGUUUGUAAUUGGCUGUGGUCUAGGAGCAUUGACUGGUGGCAUUUUCUACGAAAAAGUCAACCGGGAUCUUGUUUUUGGCCCAUGCCUACUUGUACUAGCUUGUACAAUGGCUGUCGCGCCAUGGUGCUCCUUGUACUGGGCGGCGAUUUCCGUACACGUUAUUCAGGGCAUUGCAAUGAUGGUGGUUAUCAUAGGUGGAAAUGCAGAGAUCCUGUCAAUGUGGAGGGACAACCGGAUCACCUUUUUAGUCCUGUACCUUCUACACAGACUCGGCCGUUUCA